GCUUUUCCACGCAAUCAGCAUUAGGGUUUUAAACCCUAAACUGAAUGUUUCCAUACAAUCAGCAUUAGGGUUUUAAACCCUAAACUGAACUUUCCCAUUCAGCCAGCAUUAGGGUUUUAAACCCUAAACUGAGCUUUUCCAUUCAGUCAGCAUUAGGGUUUUAAACCCUAAACUGAACUUUUUCCAUUCAGCCAGCAUAAGGGUUUUAAACCCUAAACUGAGCUUUUCCAUUUAGUCAGCAUUAGGGUUUUAAACCCUAAACUGAACUUUUUCCAUUAAGUCAGCAUUAGGGUUCUAAACCCUAAACUGAGCUUUUCCAUGCAGUCAGCAUUAGGGUUUUAAACCCUAAACUAAAUUUUUCCUUUAGUCAGCAUUAGGGUUUUAAACCCUAAACUGAGUUUUUCCAUGCAGUCAGCAUUAGGGUUUUAACCCCUAAACUGACCCUUUUUCCUUUAAUCAGCAUUAGGGUUUUUAAACCCUAACUGAACUUUUUCCAUCCAGCCAGCAUUAGAGUUUUAAACCCUAAACUGAGCUUUUCCAUGCAGUAAGCAUUAGGGUUUUCAACCCUAAACUGACCAUUUUUCCUUUAAUCAGCAUUAGGGUUUUAAACCCUAAAUGAACUUUUUUUCCAUUCAGCAAGCAUUAGGGUUUAAAA
RNAcentral lists this long non-coding RNA (655 nucleotides) under Nicotiana tabacum (common tobacco). RNAcentral's name for it is "long non-coding RNA (NTAB_LNC005763)". Lineage: Eukaryota; Viridiplantae; Streptophyta; Magnoliopsida; Solanales; Solanaceae. The record is from RNAcentral.